RNAcentral lists this ribosomal RNA (466 nucleotides) under uncultured bacterium. RNAcentral's name for it is "partial 16S ribosomal RNA". It matches the Rfam family "Bacterial small subunit ribosomal RNA", at positions 28 to 507 of the family's 1533-position model. The record is from RNAcentral.
GAUGAACGCUGGCGGCGUGCUUAACACAUGCAAGUCGAACGAUGAAGCCCAGCUUGCUGGGUGGAUUAGUGGCGAACGGGUGAGUAACACGUGAGUAACCUGCCCUUAACUCUGGGAUAAGCCUGGGAAACUGGGUCUAAUACCGGAUAGGAGCGUCCACCGCAUGGUGGGUGUUGGAAAGAUUUAUCGGUUUUGGAUGGACUCGCGGCCUAUCAGCUUGUUGGUGAGGUAAUGGCUCACCAAGGCGACGACGGGUAGCCGGCCUGAGAGGGUGACCGGCCACACUGGGACUGAGACGCGGCCCAGACUCCUACGGGAGGCAGCAGUGGGGAAUAUUGCACAAUGGGCGCAAGCUUGAUGCAGCGACGCCGCGUGAGGGAUGACGGCCUUCGGGUUGUAAACCUCUUUCAGUAGGGAAGAAGCGAAAGUGACGGUACCUGCAGAAGAAGCACCGGCUAACUACGUG